This 213-nucleotide ribosomal RNA is filed under the name Vibrio cholerae. RNAcentral describes it as "partial 16S ribosomal RNA". It matches the Rfam family "Bacterial small subunit ribosomal RNA", at positions 1 to 215 of the family's 1533-position model. The record is from RNAcentral. Lineage: Bacteria; Pseudomonadati; Pseudomonadota; Gammaproteobacteria; Vibrionales; Vibrionaceae.
UAAUUGAAGAGUUUGAUCAUGGCUCAGAUUGAACGCUGGCGGCAGGCCUAACACAUGCAAGUCGAGCGGCAGCACAGAGGAACUUGUUCCUUGGGUGGCGAGCGGCGGACGGGUGAGUAAUGCCUGGGAAAUUGCCCGGUAGAGGGGGAUAACCAUUGGAAACGAUGGCUAAUACCGCAUAACCUCGCAAGAGCAAAGCAGGGGACCUUCGGG